AGAGUUUUAGCCUAGUGGUUAGGGCGUCGGACUCACGACUUGAAGGUCGGGGGUUCGAUUCCCGAUCCCUCUG
Macrostomum lignano is the source of this 73-nucleotide non-coding RNA. The record is from Rfam. NCBI's taxonomy places the organism in Eukaryota, Metazoa, Platyhelminthes, Macrostomidae.